RNAcentral lists this ribosomal RNA (253 nucleotides) under uncultured bacterium. RNAcentral describes it as "partial 16S ribosomal RNA". It matches the Rfam family "Bacterial small subunit ribosomal RNA", at positions 524 to 776 of the family's 1533-position model. The record is from RNAcentral.
GACAGAGGGUGCAAGCGUUGUUCGGAAUUACUGGGCGUAAAGGGCGUGUAGGCGGUGGAGUGUGUCUGAUGUGAAAUCCCUCGGCUUAACCGGGGAACUGCAUCGGAAACUACUCUGCUGGAGUGCGAGAGAGGAUGGCGGAAUUCCUGGUGUAGAGGUGAAAUUCGUAGAUACCAGGAGGAACACCGGAGGCGAAGGCGGCCAUCUGGAUCGUAACUGACGCUGAGACGCGAAAGCGUGGGUAGCAAACAGG